Molecule: non-coding RNA, 678 nt
Organism: Camellia sinensis
Lineage: Eukaryota; Viridiplantae; Streptophyta; Magnoliopsida; Ericales; Theaceae
Source: RefSeq, a predicted model, not a curated record
CCCGUUUGAAAUUUUCACAUCUGUGCUGGAAGCAGAGCCGCACGUGCGGGGAAUAGCGCCGCACGUGCGGCCUGUUCGGGACAGCAGCUCUAAAAACGGGAUUUUGGGGCCAUUUCUUGCAAUUUCUUUUCCUCUCUUCUUCUCCCCUCUUCCAUAUCCGAAACCCUAGCCCCAAAUCCUUGAAUUCCUUUACUUUGCUCAUGAUCCACCAUGGUUUUUGGCAUCAAGGAUGGAGAAUAAGGGAGGAUCAAUGUUUUUACCCGAUUAGAACUUGGAUUUGUGAAGGCUUCUUCUCAAGCUCACUUCUUUGCUUGAUUAUUGAGGGCAUACUUCAGGAGGGCCAAGCACUCCGUUGUAGCACUGUCAGCAACCAGGUGGUCAGUCCUAGCCAAGACGUCCGCUUUCUUUUGUCAACCUUCGUAUGUCCAGGCACUGUAUAAGCCAUUUAUUUUGUCAAGUUGUUAAGAUGUUGACUUGCUUAUGGGUGUCCCUCUAAGGUUGUUGUAUAUACUUUCAUGUUCAUUUUUUUUGUAUACGCCCAAUCAUGGGGCUGGCAUUGUAAAUGUGUAUGUAUAUGCUCCGGGUUAUAGUUGGAACUUUAUCUAUCCACUAUAAUGCAUGUGAUGAAUGAGAUCCUGGCAUGUAGAAGUAGCUCAAUGGAGUUUAUUUGUUUCAUUA